Molecule: long non-coding RNA, 1117 nt
Organism: Chenopodium quinoa (quinoa)
Lineage: Eukaryota; Viridiplantae; Streptophyta; Magnoliopsida; Caryophyllales; Amaranthaceae
Exons: 2
Source: RefSeq, a predicted model, not a curated record
AUCCCCUAAUCACUACCUUUAACCAGAUUUUCACCGUUGACCCACGAAAAAAAAUCCCCGAAACCGCUCACUUUGAGGUUGCAGGAUGGUUUUGGCUUGGUGGAGGCAAUUUCAUGCGGGUUGUGUUAGUUUUGGGGAUGAAAGCGGGUGACUUCGGGGGUGUUUUGUGGUGGGUCAACAUCGAAAAAUUAGGUCAACGAUGGAAAUCUGGCCAUAGAUAGUCUUUUACAACAAUUUACCUUUCAAUAGGUAGUUUUAUUACAACAUUAUUUUAUUAGGUAGUUUUUCACAAAUUCUAAGUUUUAUUAGGUAGUUUAUGACAAAAAAUACUAAAAUUUAAAAUGCUAAGUUUAAAUACUAUGCAAAUUACAAUUUUGAAAUUUUGGCUUCACCUCGAGUUGAUUUUAAAAUAAGCACUAAUUGAUGGAUAAAUCUUCUUUGCAGAUACUUGAAUUGAACUUCGCUUCGUACAUUUUAAUUUUAUUCUUACGCUUACUCCUAAAAUAUUACAUUGCAGGAAGAAGUCGAUUUAUUUAUGUCUAAAUCAGUUUGAAACACUUCUAGAGGAAGAACUGGAAUAUUUUACGAGGAAUGGAGUAAGGGUGUCGGCGAUAGGAGAGAAUUACUUGUUGUCUGAAUCACUUCAAGCCACAAUAAAGAAAGUCGAAGAAGCAACAAAAGACAAUACAAAACUUGAUGUAGUCUUUCCAGUAUGUUACACUUCACAAAGUGACAUAGUUCAAGCAACAAGGAAAAUUUGCCACAAAGUCAAGGAAGGAAGCAUUACAAUAGAGGAUGUUAAUGAAGAUUUGAUUGAACAUCUUCGCCUUGGCAUGUUGUUAGGGUGGCAAAUUGCCAAUGUUCAUCUAUAUAUUCCCAACACUUGUGCACCUGACUUCCAACGAAAAUUUGUUCCUUGAUGCUUUGCGUUCUUAAAAGCAAAGAGAUGCAUCGUUUGGUAGGUAAAAUAGAAGCUACUACGUUUUUUUUUUUUCACCUUCAUCUUGUCAUAGGAAUCAUAAAUUGGAAAAAUUCCAAGGUGUUGGUGCUUUAUGCUUGUUGUAUAUUGUUCUUAAUUUUGCGAGCACUCUCUUAAUAUAUUUGUUACUCUUGGUAA